AGGGUGUAAACGCUGCAGACUUGGUGUUGGGGGCCCGUUUGGGGGCAUUCAGUGCCGGAGAGAAGUUGUUAAGUCUGCUACUUGGGGAGUACGUCCGCAAGGAUGAAACUUAAAGGAAUUGGCGGGGGAGCACCGCAACGGGAGGAGCGUGCGGUUUAAUUGGAUUCAACACCGUAAACUCACCAGGGAAGACUGUUACAUGAAGGCCGAGAUGAAGACUCUGCUAGAUUUUCAGAGAGGAGGUGCAUGGCGUCAGUGACU
Molecule: ribosomal RNA, 261 nt
Filed under: uncultured archaeon
Lineage: Archaea
Description: partial 16S ribosomal RNA
Rfam family: Archaeal small subunit ribosomal RNA
Source: RNAcentral